AGUGAACGCUGGCGGUAGGCCUAACACAUGCAAGUCGAACGGCAGCACAGUAAGAGCUUGCUCUUACGGGUGGCGAGUGGCGGACGGGUGAGGAAUACAUCGGAAUCUACUUUUUCGUGGGGGAUAACGUAGGGAAACUUACGCUAAUACCGCAUACGACCUACGGGUGAAAGCAGGGGAUCUUCGGACCUUGCGCGAUUGAAUGAGCCGAUGUCGGAUUAGCUAGUUGGCGGGGUAAAGGCCCACCAAGGCGACGAUCCGUAGCUGGUCUGAGAGGAUGAUAAGCCACACUGGAACUGAGACACGGUCCAGACUCCUACGGGAGGCAGCAGUGGGGAAUAUUGGACAAUGGGCGCAAGCCUGAUCCAGCCAUACCGCGUGGGUGAAGAAGGCCUUCGGGUUGUAAAGCCCUUUUGUUGGGAAAGAAAGGCAGCAGGUUAAUACCCCGCUGUUCUGACGGUACCCAAAGAAUAAGCACCGGCUAACUUCGUG
This 492-nucleotide ribosomal RNA is filed under the name uncultured bacterium. Its description in RNAcentral is "partial 16S ribosomal RNA". It matches the Rfam family "Bacterial small subunit ribosomal RNA", at positions 29 to 507 of the family's 1533-position model. The record is from RNAcentral.